This 491-nucleotide ribosomal RNA is filed under the name uncultured bacterium. RNAcentral describes it as "partial 16S ribosomal RNA". It matches the Rfam family "Bacterial small subunit ribosomal RNA", at positions 29 to 507 of the family's 1533-position model. The record is from RNAcentral.
GUGAACGCUGGCGGUAGGCCUAACCCAUGCAAGUCGAACGGCAGCACCGUAAGAGCUUGCUCUUACGGGUGGCGAGUGGCGGACGGGUGAGGAAUACAUCGGAAUCUACUUUUUCGUGGGGGAUAACGUAGGGAAACUUACGCUAAUACCGCAUACGACCUACAGGUGAAAGCAGGGGAUCUUCGGACCUUGCGCGAUUGAAUGAGCCGAUGUCGGAUUAGCUAGUUGGCGGGGUAAAGGCCCACCAAGGCGACGAUCCGUAGCUGGUCUGAGAGGAUGAUCAGCCACACUGGAACUGAGACACUGUCCAGACUCCUACGGGAGGCAGCAGUGGGGAAUAUUGGACAAUGGGCGCAAGCCUGAUCCAGCCAUACCGCGUGGGUGAAGAAGGCCUUCGGGUUGUAAAGCCCUUUUGUUGGGAAAGAAAAGCAGCAGGUUAAUACCCCGCUGUUCUGACGGUACCCAAAGAAUAAGCACCGGCUAACUUCGUG